Molecule: ribosomal RNA, 253 nt
Filed under: uncultured bacterium
Lineage: Bacteria
Also listed under: 1 other name
Description: partial 16S ribosomal RNA
Rfam family: Bacterial small subunit ribosomal RNA
Source: RNAcentral
UACAGAGGCCUCGAGCGUUGUUCGGAAUUACUGGGCGUAAAGGGAAUGUAGGUGGUGACGUAAGUCAGAUGUGAAAGCCCUGGGCUUAACCCGGGAAGUGCAUUUGAUACUGCGUUGCUUGAGUACGAGAGAGGAAAGCGGAAUUUCCAGUGUAGGAGUGAAAUCCGUAGAUAUUGGAAGGAAUACCGAUGGCGAAGGCAGCUUUCUGGCUCGUAACUGACACUGAGAUUCGAAAGCGUGGGUAGCAAACAGG